GACGAACGCUGGCGGCGUGCUUAACACAUGCAAGUCGAACGGAAAGGCCCUGCUUUUGUGGGGUUCUCGAGUGGCGAACGGGUGAGUAACACGUGAGUAACCUUCCCUUUACUUUGGGAUAACUUCAGGAAACUGGUGCUAAUACCUGAUAGGAGCUCCUGCUGCAUGGUGGGGGUUGGAAAGUUUCGGCGGUUGGGGAUGGACUCGCGGCUUAUCAGCUUGUUGGUUGGGUAGUGGCUUACCAAGGCUUUGACGGGUAGCCGGCCUGAGAGGGUGACCGGGGACCAGGGGACUGAGAGAGGGCGCAGACGCCUACGGGAGGCAGCAGUGGGGAGUAUUGCACAGUGGGGGGAAGCGUGAUGCAAAAGCGCCGGGUGCGGGAAGAAGGCCUUCGGGUGAUGAACCGCAUUAGCCUGUGACGAAGCGUGAGUGACGGUAAUGAGUAAAGAAGCACCGGCUAACUACGUG
RNAcentral lists this ribosomal RNA (468 nucleotides) under uncultured bacterium. RNAcentral's name for it is "partial 16S ribosomal RNA". It matches the Rfam family "Bacterial small subunit ribosomal RNA", at positions 28 to 507 of the family's 1533-position model. The record is from RNAcentral.